GGAUUAGAUACCCGGGUAGUCCACGCCGUAAACGAUGAGUGCUAGGUGUUAGGGGCUUCCAUGCCCUUGGUGCCGAAGUUAACACAGUAAGCACUCCGCCUGGGGAGUACGGCCGCAAGGCUGAAACUCAAAGGAAUUGACGGGGACCCGCACAAGCAGUGGAGUAUGUGGUUUAAUUCGAAGCAACGCGAAGAACCUUACCAGGUCUUGACAUCCCGAUGAAACACCUAGAGAUAGGUGCCCUCUUCGGAGCAUUGGAGACAGGUGGUGCAUGGUUGUCGUCAGCUCGUGUCGUGAGAUGUUGGGUUAAGUCCCGCAACGAGCGCAACCCUUGAUGUUAGUUGCCAGCAGGUGAAGCUGGGCACUCUAAGAUGACUGCCGGUGACAAACCGG
This 393-nucleotide ribosomal RNA is filed under the name uncultured bacterium. RNAcentral's name for it is "bacterial SSU rRNA". It matches the Rfam family "Bacterial small subunit ribosomal RNA", at positions 775 to 1166 of the family's 1533-position model. The record is from RNAcentral.